RNAcentral lists this ribosomal RNA (956 nucleotides) under Benedenia hoshinai. RNAcentral describes it as "large subunit ribosomal RNA". The stretch from base 626 to 913 matches the Rfam family "Archaeal large subunit ribosomal RNA", at positions 2151 to 2715 of the family's 2987-position model. The record is from RNAcentral. Lineage: Eukaryota; Metazoa; Platyhelminthes; Monogenea; Capsalidea; Capsalidae.
UUAAUAGAUUAAAUUUUAAAUUUUAUUAUUUCAUUUACCUUUUGCAUCAUGAUCUAAUGAUUAUAUUUGAAUAUUCAAUAUUUCGAAAUAUUAAGAUACUUAGUAUUUUUUUUAGUACGUGUAGUACAAAACUUAUUUAAAUAUUAAUGUUGUGAUAAAUUAAUCGUUUAAUAUUAUAUCUAAUUAGAGAGUUAUUAUUUUAAUAAUAUUAAAGCUGUUAAUAACUUUAAUAACUUUGUAAGAUUCAAUUUUAUAUUUAGUUAAAUCGGGUUGAGAAGUGACCUUUUUUUAGAAAGUUGUUCUACUCUUCUAAUAUAUUUUAUUCUUCUUAUAUUACUCUCUUAUAUUAACUAUAUUUUAUUAAUUAUGUUAGAAUUAGUAGUAAAUUAAUUAAUUACUUUCUCGGAUUAAUUCGGUAUGUUUAUUAAAAACAUUUCUAUAUAUAAUUUUAUAUAGUAGUACCUGCUCAGUGCUUUGUAAAUAGCCGCAGUACCCUGACUGUGCUAAGGUAGCAUAAUUAAUUGCCUUUUAAUUGGAGGAUUGUUUGAAUGGUUUGACUUGAUUUAUUAUCUAGUAAUUAUUUUGUUUUGAAAUUAGAUUAUUAACACAGAUCUUAAUACCAUACUAUUAGACGGAAAGACCCUGAGAUUUUAUAAAUUAAUUAAUUUGCUUGGGGCAAGACUUAAUUUAUUAUUAAGAGUAUGAACCUUAUUAGGGUUUAUUGAUUAAGUUACCUCAGGGAUAACUGGGUUAGAGAGAUUAAGAGCACACAUUAAAAUCUCUAUUUGCCACCUCGAUGUUGACUUAAGGAUACUUUUUGGUGUAGAGGCUAAAUUAUGUAGGUCUGUUCGGCCUUUAAUUCCUUAAUGAGUUGAGUUAAGACCGGCGUAAGCCAGGUUGGUUCUUAUCUAUAUUUGAAUCUCUAUAGUACGAAAGGAUCUAGAGAUUAUUAGUUU